RNAcentral lists this ribosomal RNA (253 nucleotides) under uncultured bacterium. Its description in RNAcentral is "partial 16S ribosomal RNA". It matches the Rfam family "Bacterial small subunit ribosomal RNA", at positions 524 to 776 of the family's 1533-position model. The record is from RNAcentral.
UACGUAGGGUGCAAGCGAUAAUCGGAAUUACUGGGCGUAAAGCGUGCGCAGGCGGUUUUGUAAGUCUGUCGUGAAAUCCCCGGGCUCAACCUGGGAAUUGCGAUGGAGACUGCAAGGCUAGAAUCUGGCAGAGGGGGGUAGAAUUCCACGUGUAGCAGUGAAAUGCGUAGAGAUGUGGAGGAACACCGAUGGCGAAGGCAGCCCCCUGGGUCAAGAUUGACGCUCAUGCACGAAAGCGUGGGGAGCAAACAGG